RNAcentral lists this long non-coding RNA (1013 nucleotides) under Cricetulus griseus (Chinese hamster). RNAcentral describes it as "lncRNA (ENSCGRG00015043262.1)". The record is from RNAcentral. Lineage: Eukaryota; Metazoa; Chordata; Mammalia; Rodentia; Cricetidae.
UGAUUGGCCAGCAGCAAAGCUAGGCCGUGUGAAAGAACAGCCUGAGCCCUGUCUGGAGGGAAACAAGCCAGCAAGAAAGAGGUUCUCCUCAGGGGUCCUAGAUCCAGAUUCCUUGGUGAGAGGGAACACCAAGAAGAUGGGAAAGGUCAAGGCAAAGUCUGGGUGAGGGAGAAGCUUCCAGACAGAAUGACAGGAGCAGAGCCUGCUAGGGGAGGGAAGGAGAUGGGCACGCUGCAAGAGCGACGGGAGAAAAUCGACUUCCUCUAAAAUCACGUGCUCAGCGAAUCAAGUUCAUAUGUGGCACUAAGUUUUCUGUUCCUGCCACCAUGCCUGCCGUUUGCUGUCAUGCUGUCCUCCCAGUUAUGGCCUUUCACCCUCUGGAACUGGGGCUCCAAACAAGCUCCCCCUUGGGCUUGUGGUAGUUAUUCUUGGUUGUCACCUUGACUACAUCUGAAAUGAACUAUAAUCCAGGAAUGGAAGGCACACUUGUGAUCUGGAUCUUGAGGCAGGAAGCCAACAUGCCUUUGAUCUGGAUAUUGAGGCUGGAAGACACAGACUUUUACAAGGGAUGACACACCUUUACUGGAAACCUAUAUAAACAUAAUAGAAUAAGGGAGGUUUCCUUCUUUGUCUGCUUGCCUUUGCCUUGCUAGCAAUCCAUUCCUUCACUUGUGUUGCAGCCUACUUCUUCAGGAUUUUAGCAUAUGCAGAAGACCAGCUGAGACAGCCAGCUUCAUGAGACUGAGCAACUACUGGAUUCUUGGACUUUGUAUUUACAGCUAGCCAUUGAUGUAUUAGUUGAACUGCAGCCUUUAAGACAUUCCAAUAAAUCCAUAUUUUCAUUCCAUAAGUUCUAUGCCUCUAGAGAACUCUAAUACAAGGGCAUAAUCAACAACAAAGCCAUUCACUAGAACGUAAGUCACUAAAUAUGACCUCAGGUUACUAAUAGGAAUGAUAAGGUUACUACCCAUAGUCUGUCCAUUGGGGUAUUUAGGUCCACCAUUAACUCUCAG